AUCAACCAGCUCUCCCUAUGGUUAAGCGGUCUCUUCACACCAUACUUUCCCACGGGUUUAGCGUUAAGUUCGCAACACAAUCCGACCGACACCCCCGGCCAUAUUGGCCCCCCCAGUUUGAGCAAGUCAAUACAUUCGGGCAUUGCCAAGAUCAUGAAAGGUGGUGGUUGAGAGAUGGAAGCAUGUCCCCCUCCACAGUUAAUAUUUCUAGUUUUUUUCCAUCCUUCCAUUUUUUUCCGUCGGGACUUGUAGGGCUUACGCACGUCCCAAAGCCCUCCUGUUCUGUAUAUAAGAAGUACACACACAGUGCCAUUCCAAAAAUACACAGUGCUACUACUACUACUACUACUACCACCACUACUACAAAGGGAGAGUGCGAGAGUGCGAGAGAAGCUCAGCGAAGCGAGUGAGAAAAGUAGCUCACCUUUUGUUCGCUCGUCAAUCUUCUCGCCGGCACUGCUGCUGCUUGCUUGGGCCCAAAUCUCUCCUCUUUGUCUUUGUUUUGUCUUCCUCGGUGGCGUUUGCUUUGCAUCAUUGCGGAAACACCAGCCGGAAUCUACAGUUCAACGAAAACCAAGUCAAGCACAAUCUUUCUUCUCGAAACACGGCACUGGCUGCGCUAGCAAGCAAGCCUAGUGGCCAUUCGUUUACCUGUCUCGCAUUCCUUCGUUGCGCAUUCGUUCCAUCUUGUCGGGCGGCUCCAAAGCAUCUCUCACAGCUCGUAAAUUCUUUGUUUUUCCACUUCUCGCUCGUGUGGUUUGUCCUGAAGCAGCUUAAAAAGCCAUCACUCUGUUUCGGAGGAAUCGCUUCCCUGCAGUCGCUCAAUCAGUAAGGCCGAGAGAACAAAAAAAAGAAAAAAAAGAAUAGAAAAAAAGCUUGCAAAUACUUACCGAGAGAGAAAGAGAGCGAUCGAAGAUGCUUGAGAUUGAGCAGAGCGUUGCUGACGAACACAUCCGCAGUCACAACCACUUUGAGGUGCUCCAGUGCAUAGAUCGCACCAACGGUACCGGGAGGAAGGAGAAGGUGCUGUCAGACGACAGAGAGCGUCUCAAUUUCCUGGAGCUCAUGUCGCUCAGCACUGUCCCAAUGGCUUUAAAGGCCAUAACUCUCCUGGACGUGCCUCAGAUCAUGGCUGACGCGGAGCAAGGCACCAUGCUGU
RNAcentral lists this long non-coding RNA (1159 nucleotides) under Selaginella moellendorffii. RNAcentral describes it as "long non-coding RNA (SMOE_LNC001374)". Lineage: Eukaryota; Viridiplantae; Streptophyta; Lycopodiopsida; Selaginellales; Selaginellaceae. The record is from RNAcentral.